CAGCUGCGCCGGAAGACCCAUCCCUCAGCUGGACCUCUCUGGCUUGUACUGUGCAGGGAAGACGAUGAUCGCCCGCCUGCUGGGGAAGCUGCUCCAUAUGGUGGGAUUUCUGCCCACCGACAGGGUUACUGAAGUCCAGCGGACAGAUCUGGUGGGAGAGUUCGUGGGCCACACCGGACCCAAGACCAGGAGAAAGGUGACAAGAACAAUAAACCACAUCAGACCUUGCUCAAUCUUCACCGAUUUUAUCAUCCUCUUCUAGCCCAUAAAUUAGGAAGAACAGGGAAAAUAAAAUUAAAUUUAAAAAAAAAUAGGGAAGCAUAGGAAGGAGAGAGCAAAAGAGGAAAAUGACGAAUCUUGUCCGCUGACCUGCGAUUGCAGCUGGAGCAAGCGGAAGGGGGGAUCCUGUUCGUGGACGAAGCGUACCGGUUGAUUCCGAUGCAGAAGUCAGACGACAAGGACUACGGGCUGGAGGCCUUGGAGGAGAUCAUGUCUGUGAUGGACACGGGGAAGAUCGUGGUCAUAUUCGCCGGGUACGAGGAGCCGAUGAAGCGC
Molecule: long non-coding RNA, 555 nt
Filed under: Spirodela polyrhiza (greater duckweed)
Lineage: Eukaryota; Viridiplantae; Streptophyta; Magnoliopsida; Alismatales; Araceae
Description: long non-coding RNA (SPOL_LNC001079)
Source: RNAcentral